RNAcentral lists this long non-coding RNA (17264 nucleotides) under Homo sapiens (human). Its description in RNAcentral is "non-protein coding lnc-CEP95-3:1". Lineage: Eukaryota; Metazoa; Chordata; Mammalia; Primates; Hominidae. The record is from RNAcentral.
GCCUUGGCCUCCCACAGCGCUGGGAUUAUAGGCGUGAGCUACUGCACCCAGCCGACCAAAAGUUUUAAACUUUUUCAUUAAUGUAUUUUACUAAUCACUUAAAGGUGUAUUCUUUAUGAUAGCAUCCGAGACCAUAAGUGAAAAUCUACACAUGGUUAUCAGAAUAUUUCAAAGCUUUUGUUUAAAACAUUUUUCUGUUUUCCAGGGCUAAUGUCAAAAUUUGAUGUGACUCUGCAAGAAAAUGCUUACCAUCUGUGGUUGGUAUUUUUCUUCUGCUCCAGCCAUUAAUAUAUAUUUUUACAUACAAAAGUUGUUUCCAGUAAUAAAAAAUCUGUCUGAGGUAAGGUUAUAUUAAUAUUUGUACUCCUGCAAAGCUAUUUUUGUAGUGUAAAUUUCAAAUUUAAUACAGCUUAUCCACCAUAGAAGAGGCUAACAUCAAGUGCUCAGCAAUUUAUACCACUGCUUAAAAGUUAACUUUCUUUCACUUUGAAAAUAUCACUAAUUUGGCCAGGUGCGGUGGCGUAUGCCUGUAAUCCCAGCAUUUUGGGAGGCCGAGGUGAGUAGAUUGCUUGAGGCCAGGAGUUUGAGACCAGCCUGGCCAACAUGGUGAAACCCCAUCUCUACUAAAAAUACAAAAAUUAGCCAGGUGUGGUGGCAGGCACCUGUAAUCCCAGCUACUCUGGAGGCUGAGGCAGGAGAAUCGCUUGAACCUGGGAGGCGGAGGCUGCAGUGAGCCAAGACUGUACCACUGCACUCCAGCCUGGAUAACAGAGUGAGACUUCAUCACACACACACACACACACACACACAAAGAAAGAAAUGAAAAUGAAAAGACCUUACUGUAGUCUUUUUGUGUGUGUGUGUGUGACAGUCUCGGUGUGUCACCCAGGCUGGAGUGCAGGGGCGAGAUCUCGGCUCCCUGCAACUUCCGAUUCCCAGGUUCAAGCAAUUCUCCUGCUUCAGCCUCCCAAGUAGCUGGGACUACAGGCGCCCACCACCACACCUGGCUAAUUUUUUGUGUUUUUAGUAGAGACGGGGUUUCACUAUGUUGGCCAGGCUGGUCUUGAACUCCUGACCUCAUGAUCUGCCCGCCUCGGCCUCCCAAAGUGCUGGGAUUACAGGUGUGAGCCACUGUGACUGGCCUGUAGUCUUAAAGUGGCUUUCUCAGCUGCCAACUCUAGGACCUCUCAACUCAGCUCCUCGUGUCUAGUUCAAUCUCCCAGUGUCCCCAUCUCAUGUUUUAAGGAGAGAAAAUUUCAUUGGCUUUUUGGUCAGCCACACACGUUUGGCUCCGUCAGUGGAGGCCAAGCUCCCUUAGUACAAACACAGCUACCUGGGCUUAUACCUGCUGUAAGGCAGUGGUUCUCAAGGUGGGUUCUCUGCACCAGUAGCAUUAGAAAUGUACAUUCAUGGGCCCCACCCCAACCUACAGAAUCAGCAUCUCCAGGGAUGGAGCCUGGGACGCUGUAUUAGAGCUACAGACGAGGGCAGAUUUCCUCAGGAAGAGAUGCGUGUAGGGACUACCUUCUUACCACCCUGAGAAGGCAGAAGGCAACUGGCAUGGGGGAGCCCAGAUCUGCAGAGACACAGGUAGGAAAUGUGACCCUAGCUUCUGUGAUUGGGUGAUUGAUUGGAUGAUUUCAUCACCUUGAUUUUGGACUUCUACCCUUCACUGCAUCUGGCCCAGGUCUUUUCCAGUAGAUAAAUAAAUGGUGAACUGAAGGCCAGGCAUGGUGGCUCACGCCUGUAAUCCCAGCACUUUGGCAGGUGAGGCAGGAGGACCAGUUGAUGCCACAAGUUCGAGACCAAUCAGGGCAACAUCACAGGACCCUGUCUCAAAAAAAAAAAAAAAAAAAAAAAAAGGAAAUGAAUUCAUAGAAAGAGACUGACAAAGCAGACAAACAGAGAGAAGCUAAGAAACUUCUCAACCCUCGAAAGGGAGACAAAGAGAGUGAUUGACAGAUUCCCUGCCAGUUCUCCUGGCUCAGGUGUACUUCUCACACUCCAUUUCCAAGAGGUCCCCCAGUGAAUAACCACCCUGUCCCUUACUUAAGCAAGUUUAAGUGGGCCCCUGUUCCUUGCAUUUACUUUGUCUCCACUUGAAACCCCUUUUCCUUUUCAGAUCUGUCCUAAGCUCAUCCUCAGAGAUCCUUGAUUGUCUGUCUUGCUCCUGCCCAUGUUUUCCCCAGAACUGGACUCUCACCUGGAACCCAGCCCACGGCUUGGAUCCCACCACCCAGCUGCCACGCUUCUACAAUCUAGAGCGGCGUAAUACAUAUGGCUAGUGCGCACUUGAAACCUGGCUAGUGAUGGGCUGCAAGUGUAAAAUACACAGUGGAUUUCAAAGACUCAGUAUGGAGAAAAAAGCAAAAUAUCUUAUUAAUAUUUUUUAUAUUGAUGACACGUUAAAAUAAUAUUUUGGAUAUACCUACAUUGGGUUAAAUAAAAUAUAAUAUUGGCCAGGCACAGUGGCUCACACCUGUAAUCCCAGCACUUUGGGAGGCCUAGGGUGGAUCACCUGAGGUUCGGAGUUCAAGACUAGCCUGGCCAACAUGGUGAAAUCCUGUCUCUACUAAAAAUACAAAAAAUUAGCCAGGUGUGGUGGUGGAUGCCUGUAGUCCCAGCUACUCGGGAGGCUGAAGCAUGAGAAUCACUUGGACCUUAGAGGUGGAGGUUGCAGUGAGUCGAGAUCUUGCCACUGCACUCCAGCCUGGGUGACAGAGUGCAGAGCAAGACUCUGUCUGAAAAAAAAAAAAAAAAAAAAAAAAAAAUAUAUAUAUAUAUAUAUAUAUAUAUAGUAUAUAUACAGUAUAUAUAGUAUAUAUACUGUAUAUAUACUAUAUAUAUAGUAUAUAUACUGUACAUAUACUAUAUAUAUAGUAUAUAUAGUGUAUAUACACUGUAUAUGUAUACACUGUAUAUAUAUACACUGUAUAUGUAUACACUAUAUAUACUGUAUAUAUAGUGUAUAUAUAUAUACUAUAUGUAGUAAUUGAAGCUCAUUUCAUCUAGAAAAUUUGAAAUUACAAAUAUGGCUCUCAUUGUAUGUCUUUUGGACUGUGGUGACCUAGAGGUAAUGACUAUUCACGUAUGUACCUCCAGAAUAUUUGACAUAAGCUGGAUUUGCCACUGGCUAGCUCUGCACUCCGCCCAACAUCGGACUUUGCCUACCUCACCCCUCAGGCCUUACCUUACCCACCCAGCUCUCUAAUUAAUUUCUAUGGCGAGGUCAGUUCAACAGCAACUAUCUCACCCUGGUGAGAAUGAAACAAUCUAGUGUUAAGAUUUUCUUUCAGCCCCUACCACACCUACCUGGUUUUGCCUUACAUUGACCAUCGUUCCUGUGCCUAAGUCUUAAAACUAGACAGAGAUUGUACAGCAGAUUCAUGUGUGCAGUAGAGAGGUGGGCUAGAUGACCUCUGUUAUGGGUUAAAUUGUGACCUCCAAAAAGAUAUGUGGAAGUCCUAAUCCCUGGUACCUGUGAAUGUGACAUUAUUUGGAAAUGGGCCCUUUGGAGAUGUAAUCAAGUUGAGAUGAGGCUUUAGAGUGAGUCCUAAUUCAAUAUGACUGCAUUCUUUUUCGUUGUUUUUUUGACAGAGUCUCACCCCAUUGUCCAGGCUGGAGUGCAGUGGUGCAAUCUUGGCUCAUUGCAACCUCCGCCUCCUGGGUUCAAGCAAUUCUCCUGCCACAGCCUCCCAAGUAGCUGGGAUUACAGGUGCCCACCACCACACCCAGCUAAUUUUUGUAUUUUUGGUAGAGACAGGGUUUCACCAUGUUGGCCAGGCUGGUCUCAAACUCCUGGCCUCAAGUGAUCUGCCUGCCUUGGCCUCCCAAAGUGUUGGGAUUACAGGCGUGAGCCACCGUGCCUGGCCCUGUGUCGUUUUAAGAAGAGAAACAUUCCAUGUGAAGACAGAGACACACAGGAGGAAUGCCAUGUAAUGACAGAGGCAGAGAUUGGAGUGAAGCAGCUGCAAACUGAAUAUUAAGGAUUGCCAGCCACCACCAGAAGCCAGGAAGAGGCAACCUAAGAUUCUACCCAAAGUCUCAGAGGGAGCGUGGCCCUGCUGACACCUUGAUUUUGGACUUCUAUCCUUCAGAACUGUAUUGUUUUGUGUUUUAAACCACCCAAUUUGUGGUACUUUGUCUCAGGAGCCCUGGGAAAUGAAUACUUCUAAGUCUCUUCCAUACUUUAUCACAUACGAUACAGAUAACAAAACACAUUCUGCAACAGGUUUUCAUUUUUUGUUGCAUUUAUAAUGCUGCACUUUUUUAAAAAUAGAAAAUCAUGUAAAUCUAGACCAUUUUAUGCACCCAUUUUAAGUAUACACACUAGUCUGUUAUAUUGUGAAUUCUGAGAUAAAAGAGAAUGUAAUUUGAAGAGAUUGCAUAUUUUCCAAAGCCAAUUUGGUGAUUUAAGCAUGGAAGUAUUACAAUUAAAUGUUUGAAAAGUUAUCUAUGCAUGUUUUGCUGUAAGACGAUAGCAUGAAGCAACACAUCUUUUCAGGAUGAGGUAGCAGCUCCAGCCCCGGGGGAAGGGAGCCGGGGCAUCACUCGACUGCAACUACUUUGGACGACUGAGCAACAUGAACAGGCUCAAAAAAAAAGUCAUAUCCAAUCAUCCUCAAAAUACGAACUGUAGUAGCUACAACACAAUUCUCUAAGGGCGAGAUGGGCGGAGAAGUGGAAAUAUUUGUACGAUGCAGUCUUUAUGGGUAAUGCAGAGAAUAUGGGCCAGAAUGAGAUCAACAUGACUCAUAAGCCUGUGGGUCAAUGUCAAACCAUUGCUUAAAAUUCCUCAAUGGCUGCUCAUUGCCCUCAGGACCCAGUCCAGAGAGCUUUGUGUGGCAUUUCCAGCAUUGCCGGGCCCCUGCCCACCUCCAGCCUUAUUUCCUCCUUCUCUGCCCUGCCUGUACCAAAGAACUCAAGACUCUCAUCUUUCAGGUUCCUUUUGUCUCAUGGAGCUCAGUUUCUCCUCUCACCUUCAGUCAGUAAGUAGGCACCUGCUUUCCCAUCUGUCUGGCCUAUCCAAACAGGAAAGCAUAUAAUAUGAGUAUUUUACAUCGUGUAAUUGACUACUUGAUCGAUUCAUAAAUUAUAUUGUGGUGUGAAUGUGUCUGAUAAUAUAUUACUUAGAGUUUUGUCAUUUUCGUUAAUUUUUUUUUUUUUUUUUUUUUUGAGACAGAGUGUCACUGUGUUGCCCAGGAUGGAGUGGAGUGGUGCAAUCUUGGCUCACUGCAACCUCUGCCUCCUGGGCUCAAGGGAUUCUCCUGCCUCAGCCUCCCAAGUAGCUGGGAUUACAGGUACCUGCCACCAUGCCUGGCUGAUUUUUGUGUGUGUUUUUUUUUUUUAGUUGAGUCAGGGUUUCACUAUAUUGGCCAGGCUGGUCUCAAACUCUUGACCUCAGGUGAUCCACCCACCUCAGCCUCCCAAAGUGCUGUGAUUACAGGCAUGAGCCACCGUGCCUGGCCUCAUUCAUUUUAAUUAAUGAUAUAAUUUUAAAUGGGAGAACCACCAGAGAUCAUCUACCAUGUUCACCUCCCUCUGGAUGAAGAAAAUUAGGCUAUUUUUUUUUUAACAUCUUAAAAGACAGUCAGGGCCGGAGCCGGGCGUGGUGGUGGGCAACCGGAAGUCCCAGCUACUCGGGAGGCUGAGGCACGAGAAUGGCAUGAACCCGGGAGGCGGAGCUUGCGGUGAGCAGAGAUAGUGCCACUGCACUCCAACCUGGGCGACAAAGCAAGACUCUGUCUCAUUAAAAAAAAAAAAAAAAAAAAAAAAAAAAAAAAAAAAAGACAGGGCCAGGUGCGGUGGCUCUCGCCUGUAAUCCCAGCAUUUUGGAAGGCCGAGGCAGGUGGAUCACCUGAGGUCAGGAGUUCAAGACCACCCUGGCCAAAAUGGGGAAAACCCAUCUCUACUAAAAAUACAAAAAUUAGCCAGGCAUGGUGAUGUAUGCCUGUAAUCCCAGCUACUGGGGAGGCUGAGGCAGGAGAAUUGCUUAAACCUGAAAGGUGGAGGUUGCAGUGAGCCAAGAUCGUGCCACUGCACUUUGGCCUGGGCAACAGAGUAACACUCCAUCUCAAGAAAAAAAAAAAAAAGCCGGGCGCGGUGGCUCAUGCCUGUAAUCCCAGCACUUUGGGAGGCCGAGAUGGGCAGAUCACGAGAUCAGGAGAUCGAGACCAUCCUGGCUAACACAGUGAAACCCCGUCUCUACUAAAAAUACCAAAAAAAAAAAAAAAAUUAGCCAGGCAUGGUGGCGGGCGCCUGUAGUUCCAGCUACUCGGGAGGCUGAGGCAGGAGAAUGGCGUGAACCCGGGAGGUGGAGCUUGCAGUGAGCCGAGAUCGUGCCACUGCAUUCCAGCCUGGGUGACACAGCGAGACUCCAUCUCAAAAAAACAAAAACAAAAACAAAAAAACAGUCAGGGCCGGGCAUGGUGGCUCAUGCCUGUAAUCCCAGCACUUUGGGAAGCUGAGACGUGUGGUCAGGAGUUUGAGACCAGCCUGGCUGAAAUGGAGAAACCCCGUCUCUACUAAAAAUACAAAAAUUAGCUGGGAAUGUUGGUGGGUGCCUGUAAUCCCAACUACUCUGGAGGCUGAGGCACGAGAAUCACUUGCACCUGGGAGGUGAAGGUUGCAGUGAGCAGAGAUCGUGCCACUGCACUCCAGCCUGGGUGACAGAGUGAGACUCUGUCUCAAAAAAAAAAAAAAGAAAAGAAAAGACACUCAGAAGCCUCUUAGAGUGUGUAUAAUUGUGAUAAUCACAGACUCUGACAACAAAGUCAAUUAUUGGAAUACAUCCUCUUCAUUAGUAGGGUCUUUAAGGUAGCACCCCCCACCAAAUUCCAGAUAAAAACUUCAGGCCUCCCCUGAGGUAAGGCUGGACUUCCCCAGGGCUUCUAUCAUGGGAGGCUCAUCCCAAUAAGACCAAUGGCAUGGAGGAAGUAAAGAAAAGACAAAGUGCUCUGUAAGCAACUGGGUACCAAGAGAAACUCUAAAAUCCACAGUGGGGAAAGUUGUUCUAUCUUUCCAAGGCCUGAGUGAACUAAGGGGCGGUGAGAGGUCAGAAGUAUUCCAUUAAUUAAUAUCCUUGCACAUGUAAGGAAACUUCAGGAGUUGAGUAAGAAGCAAACUUCCCCCUGCUGUUCACUAACGGCCGAAUCAAUGAAUGUCAAGAUCAUUACAAAGCAAUGUCAUUUCAUAUUUUCCAAAUGACAGAGGAGAAUAUUUAAUUGCAUCCAUUAUCUGGGAAAGCUGAUACUGUUAACUGUGGAGAAAUUUAUGAAGCAAGAAGGGCCCUUUACCUACAGAGGUGCAUAAACACACUCGGACUAGAAUUUCUAGAUUUCUAAGUAAUUGUUUUUGGUAUUAGACCCCCCAGUGGCCAUUCCUUUAUUAAAACUUGUCAUUGUGUGUUUAAAAUCCUAUCCACUGAGUUGGUUUCAACCUUACUGGAAAGGAAUUUAUAAAUAAAUAUCAAAGCACAUGGUAAGGUUACAUUCCUAGGAAUCUAUUCUAAGGAAAUCAUCAGAGGUCUGCCCAAAGACACUGAUAUGGUUUGGCUCUGUGUCCUCAACUAAAUCUCGUCGCGAAUUGUAAUCCCCACGUGUGGAGGGAGAGAGGUGAUUGGAUCAUGGGGGCUAUUUUCCCCAUGCUGUUCUCAUGGUAGUGAGUGAAUUCGCAUGAGAUCUGAUGGUUUUAUAAAUGGCAGUUUUUCCUGCACUUACACUCUCUCCCGCCAUCUUGUGAAGAAGGUGCCUGCUUCCCCUUCCGCCAUAACUGUAACUUUCCUGAGGCCUCCACAGCCAUGCAGACCUGUGAGUCAGUUAAACUUCCUUUGUUUAUAAAUUACCCACUCUCGGAUACUAUCUUUAUAGCAGUGUGAGAACAGACUAAUACAGACAUAUGCAAGGAUAUUCAUCCAAUACUGUUUACAAGGACAACAAAGUGAAAGCAAUUUAAAUGCACAAAAGGAGAUUGGUUUUAAAAUAUAUGGUAUACUUGUAUAAAAAACUGUUUUUUUUUUUUGAGACGGAGUUUCGCUCUUGUUGCCCAGGCUGGAGUGCAAUGGCGUGAUCUUGGCUCACUGCAGCCUCCGCCCCCGCCCCCCGGGGUUCAAGCGAUUCUCCUGCCUCAGCCUCCUGAGUAGCUGGGAUUAUAGGUGCGUGCCAAAACAUCCAGCUAAUUUUUGUACAUUUAGUAGAGAUGGGUUUUCACCAUGUUGGCCAAGGUGGUCUCGAACUCCUGACUUCAGGUGAUCCACCCACCUCGGCCUCCCAAAUGGCUAGGAUUACAGGUGUGAGCCACUGUGCCCGGCCUGAAAAACUAUUAUGUAAUCAUUGAAAAUAAUGUUCCCAAAGACAUUUUUUCUUCAUAUAUGUGUGUGUGUAUAUUUUAUAUAUAUAUAUAUAUAUAUAGUUUGUUUGUUUUUUAAUAGAAACAAGAUCUCACUCCAUCAUCCAGGCUGGACAACACUGGCAUGGUCACAGGUCACUGUAACCUCGAACUCCUGGGCUCACAGAAUCCUUCUGCCUCAGCCUCCCAAGUAGCUAGGGCUCCCAGCAUGUGCCACCAGGCCCAGCUAAUUUUAUUACUUUUAAAAUUUUCUUUCUCACUAUGUUGCCCAGGCUGGUCUCAAACUCCUGGCUGCAAGUGAUCCUCCCACCUCAACCUCCCAAAGUGCUAGGAUUACAGGCAUGAGUCACUGCACCCGGCCUUUCAGAUAUUUUUAUAUGAAAAAAAUAAGAAGAGAAUUCCCCUCCCUCUGUCUCUUCCUAGGCUCCCUAGAGAAAAGAACUACCACAAAUUUGGCAUGUACUCUUUCUGCGCAGGUUUUCAUACUUCAUUCAUUUAGUGACAUAAGGGAAUGUUAAUAAUAUACAUAUAUAAAUUUUUAAAAAGCAGAGAACUAAAAUAUAUGUGAGGAAUGAUCCCAACCCCAAUUUUAAAACAAAUAUACCCAUACAUUUAUUAAUUCAAAAUGAUGUUUAUUAAGAAUCUACUAGGAGCACUGGGCCCCACGGUGGGAUUUCCAGGCCCUGCCAUGGGAGACGCAUGGGGACUGACAGGUUCCCAGAUCCAUAUCCUGGCAGAUGUCUCUGGCUCAGUGUCCCCCAUUGGCUGCCUGCCACCUUCAAGGGAGCUCUGGGAAUGGAAGUCCCCUCUCAUGUACCACCACCCUCCCCAGGCUGGCCUUUGAGAGGUGACCCCAGGGGAACCACGUUGAGGCUGCUUUCAAAUCCUCCAGCGAGAGUUCCACCAAAUGGCCUGGGUGGACCAGAUGAGAUGAGACUGGACCAUCCCCGACCGUGCUCUUCUUGCUGGGGGUGGAGGUGGGGUGGGUUGAUGGACAGGGUAGACAGGCAGCCCCAGCAUUAUAAAACUGAGAUGCGACUGGGUGCGAUGGCUCACGCCUAUAAUCCCAGUACUUUGGGAGGCUGAGGCGGGCAGAUCACGAGGUCAAGAGAUCGAGACCAGGCUGGCCAACAUGGUGAAACCCUGUGUCUACUAAAAAUACAAAAACCAGCUGGGCGUGGUGGCGGGCACCUGUAAUCCCACCUACUUGUGAGGCCGAGGCAGGAGAAUCGCUUGAACCCAGGAGGCAGAGGUUGCAAUGAGCUGAGAUUGCACCACUGCGCUCCAACCUGGUGACAGAGCGAGACUCUGUCUCAAAUAAAAAACAAAAACAAAAAAAAACUGAGAUGCAUUCCUAGGGUGCCUGGGUAUGGGAGUAUCACAUAGGAUGCCCUUCUUCCAGUCAGCCUGCCUUCAGCUUCCUCAGGCAUGAUCACAACUUCCCAUCAGAGCCUCUUUUUUCCUUUUCCACCACAGAGAAGUGAAACAUGAGAGGGAGAAAGAGCUCAAUAAAUACUGCUUAUCCUCAUUUGUGUAAUCAUCAGUGAUCUACAUACAGAUGGGUGACUAGACAGGGAUGUGAAAGAAAAAAAAAAAACGAAGAAUAUACUAGGUGCUGGGCACAGUGGCUCAUGCCCAUAAUCCCAGCACUUUGGGAGACCAAGGUGGGUGGAUCACCUGAGGUCAGGAGUUUGAGACCAGCCUGGCCAACAUGGCAAAACCCCAUCUCUACUAAAAAUACAAAAAAAUUAGCCAGAUGUGGUGGGAGACACCUGUAAUCCCAGGCGGGAGGCUGAGGCAUGAGAAUCACUUGAAACCAGGAGGUGGAGGUUGCAGUGAGCCAAGAUUGCACCAUUGCACUCCAGCCUGUCUGGUGGAUGGAGCAAGACUCCAUCUAAAAAAAAAAAGAAUAUGCUAGUUGCUAAGCGCUGUUCUUAGAGCUUGUAAUUUAGUGGAGGAAGACAGAUAACCAACAAAGAGACAAUACAUAAAAUACGAAAGGUAAGAAGAGAAUUUUCCGCUGUUUUCUAGGAUGCAUUUUCAGUGCUGAGGUUGUCAAUCACAGUGAUUCUCCAGCCUUACUGAAAAUGUUGAAACAGGUACUGUAGGCAAUUAAAAACAAAAAGAAUAUGUUGAGACAAAAAUUAUACCCCUUUCGCAUUGGACAUGGACGAAGAAGGACGGACACUACUGGGUCAUUGUACUCAGUGGCAGACACUGUUUGAGAGUGGCGUCAACACAGACCAGGAGGGGCCAAGAGAUGAAGAGAGUGAAAUCUGAUCUUGAUUUUCCCAUGGGAGGCCCUGUAGGAAGCCAUUCAUAAAGCCUCCACCUAGUUUGGGUCAGGUUUUCAGUCACUAGCCCAUAAGAGUUCCAACUAGGCUGGGCACAGCAGCUCAUGCCUAUAAUCGCGGUACUUUGGGAGGCCGAGACAGGAGAAUCGCUUGAGCCCAGGAGUUCGAGACCAGCCUGGGUAACACAGCGAGACCCCGCCUCUACAAGAAAUAGAAAAAAUUAGGGGGGCAUGGUAGCACAUGCUUGUAGUCCCAGCUACUUGGGAGGCUGAGGCAAGAGGAUCCCUUGAGCAUGGGAAGUUGAAGCUGCAGUGAGCCUGAUCACACCAUUGCACUCCAGCCUGGGUGACAGAGCAAGACCCUGUCUAAAAAGAGAGAGAGAGAGAGAGAGAAGAACUAAUUAGUAUAUCCAGUGAAGCAGAAUCUCUGGGUGGAAGCUGCAAUCUGCAUUGUUAACUAGGUCCCUAUGUGAAUCUUUUUUUUUUUUUUUUGAGACAGAGUCUUGCUUUGUCACCCAGGCUGGAGUGCAAUGGUACAAUCUCAGCUCACUGCAAACUCCACCUCCUGGGUUCAAGUGAUUCUCCUGCCUCAGCCUCCCAAGUAGCUGGGAUUACAGGCACGUACCACCAUGCCCUAUUAAUUUUUGUAUUUUUAGUAGAGACUGGGUUUCACCAUGUUGACCAGGCUGGUCUCGAACUCCUGACCUCAAGUGAUCUGCCCACCUUGGGCUUCCCAAAGUGCUGGAUUACAGCCAUGAGCCACUGUGCCUGGCCUCCCAUGUGAAUCUGUAUUGAGGAGGUGAAGAAUUUGCUCCAGAACGGGGACAACCAAAAAGCAAACUUUUUCUGUAAAGGGCCAGAUAAUAAAUAUUUUAGGCUUUGUGUGCCAUAGAGGCUCUGUGGCAACUACUCAACUCUGGUACUGUAAUGUAGAUGCAGCCAUAGAUGAAUGGGUGUGGCUGUGUUCUAAUAAAACUUUGUUUACAAAAGCAGGCAGUGGACUAGAUUUGGCUCACUGGCAUGGUGCCCACCCCUGCUCUAGAACUAGAGCUAUAAGCAAACAGAAAACUACCAAACCUGGAAGGGUCACUAAGAUUCAGUAAAGUAUUUUUCCAAAAUCUAUAAAAUCUGAAACCAUUUAAUAGUUGAAAGAAAGAAGCCAAUAAAAUUAUAAGAAGCGCUCAUAUUUCUUGAGGGCUUACUAUGUGCCAGAGGCUAUGCCAAGGGAUGUAUCAUUUAGAAUGCUUUCAUCUCAUAGAACAUCUCAUACACCAAGUAGUUGUUUUUGUUUUUGUUUGAGACAGAGUCUUGCUCUGUCACCCAGGCUGGAGCGCAGUGGUACGGUCACAGCUCACUGCAAGCUCCGCCUCCUGGGUUUACGCCAUUCUCCUGCCUCAGCCUCCCAAGUAGCUGGGAGUACAGGCACCCGCCACCAUGCCUGGCUAAUUUUUUGGCAUUUUUAGUAAAGAUGGGGUUUCACCAGGUUGGCUAGGCUGGUCUCGAACUCCUGACCUGAGGCGAUCCACCAGCUUUGGCCUCCCACAGUGCUGGGAUUACAGGCAUGAGCCACAGCGCCCGGCCCCAAGUAGUUUUAAGAUAGGGUUGAUUCUGUGGUUGGAGUGGCAGUGCUUUCCUGAUUUGUUCAAGGACACAGGUUCUUUCCACCUCAUGCCUCCUCCUUCCUUGGGGCUUGAGCUUUGCCCUCAGGUCACUCCCCUCAUGACCACAAAAUGGUGACUACAGUUACAAGCCACAUAUCCAGAGCAAAUAGUCUUUAGAAGAAACAGAUCAUCUCUUCCUCUGUCUUUUUAGGAUGAAGAGAUCAUUCCCAGAAGCUCCUCCAUACCAGGAUGUUUCCUUUCUGUUUUUUAUUUUUUUGAGACAGGGUCUCACUCUGUCACCCAGGCUGGAGUGCAGUGGUGUAAUAAUAGCUCACUGCAGCCUUGAUCUCCUGGGCUCAAGAGGUCCUCUUGCCUCAGCCUUCCAAGUAGCUGGAACUACAGGCAUGUGCCACCAUGCUCAGCCAAUUUUUAAAAAUUGUUUUUAGAGACAGGGUUUCACUAUGUUGACUAGGCUGGUCUUGAACUUUUGGGCUCAAGCGAUCCUCCCACCUCGGUUUCCCAAAGUGCUGGGAUUACAGGCAUGAGGAACCACACCCGUCCUCCUUUCACGUCUUAAUGGUCAGAAUUUGAUCAUGGGCUCACUCUCAAUUAUUAGAAAGGGGAAUGGAAUUUCCAAGAUUAGUUGAGUAAUGAGGAAUCCUCUCCUGAUCUUGGCUAUGUAGAGGAUAUGGGGGAUGGAAGGGUGUGCCUGUAGAGGCUGUAUGAAUAUCUGAAUAAAACCAGGGCUCUGGUAGGAAGAAAACAUGGGGGCCAGAAAUGGAUAUUGAAUAAGCAACCAAGCGAUAUGACCACAACACAAGUACCAUGACCAGGUGAUAUUAGUUUCCGUGUUUUAGAGAUGAGAAAAUAAGUCAGAGAGGGGAAAGUGACUAGGUCAAGGUCACAAAGCUACUAAAUGAAAGAGACUAGAUUCAGGCCCAGGUCUGUGACUACAGCGCCCACUCCCUCAGCCACUGCACUCAAGUGCUAUGGUGGGAAAGCUGAGUUCAGGAAAGAAGAGAAUAGCUGCAAAGCUUGCCUCAAAAUCAGGUAAACUUGAGCCACUUGUAAAACCUGUGAUGUCGCUGGGCACAGUGGCUUGCACCUGUAGUCCUAGCUACUCAAGAGGCUGAGGAGGGAGGAUCACAUGAGCCCAGGAAUUUGAGGCUGAAGUGAGCUAUGAUCACACCACUGCACUCCAGCCUGGGCAGCAGGGCCAAACUCCAUCUCUAAAAACAAAUAGGCCGGGCACAGUGGCUGACACCUGUAAUCCCGGCAUUUUGCAGGCCAAGGAGCGAGGAUGGGUUGAGCUCAGAAGUUAGAGACCAGCCUGAGCAACAUAGUGAGACCUCGUCUCUAUUAAAACUUAGCCAGGUAUAGUGAUCUGUACCUGUAGUCCCAGCUACUCAGGAGGCUGAGGCAGGAGGAUUGCUUGAGCCAAGGAGGUCAAGUCUGCAGUGAGCUAUAAUCACCACUGCACUCCAACCUUAGUGACAGAGUGAAACCCUGUCUCAAAAAAAUAAAAAUAAAAACAAACAAACAAAAACCCUGUGAUGUCACCAAGCCUCCCUAGCAGGGUGUACCGUUCAGGUUUGUUGUAGAACAAACAACCCCAUAAUGGAGCAAGUAAAAGCACAAUAAUUUCUUUAGCUCACAAUUAUAUGGCUCAGCAAUUUGGGCUGGGCUUCUGGUCUCACCUGGACUCACUCAUGCAUCUUUGGUCAGCUGGGGACUGGCUGGUCUAAGGUCACCCCUGGUGGACUCCUGGGCUGGUUCCACAUGGUCUGUCACCCUUCAGCAGGUUAGGCUGUGCUUGUGCAUAUGGAGGCUGGGCAGGGUGCCAAGAGUGGGAGAGAAAUACCUAAGGCGGCCAGACAUGGUGGUUCACGCCUGUAAUCCCAACACAUUGGGAGGCCGAGGAGGGGCAGAUCAUCUGAGGUCAGGUGUUCGAGACCAGCCUGGCCAACAUGGUGAAACCCCAUCUCUACUAAAAAUACAAAAAUUAGCCAGACAUGGUGGUGCGGGCCUGUAAUCCCAGCUACUCAGAAGGCUGAGGCAGUAGAAUCGCUUGAACCUGGGAGGCGGAGGUUGCAGUGAGCUGAGAUCACGCCACUGCACUCCAGCCUGGGCGACAGAGCCAGACUCCACCUCAAAAGUAAAAAAAAAAGAAAUGCCUAAGUCCUCUUGAGGCCUUGUUUGGAUCUAGGAAAAAUUACUUUUCAAGUGAGGACUGAACUAAAAAAGAAUUUUAUUUUCUCAUUCUACAGAAAGGCAGAUGCAACAGUGGUAAAUGCCCCAUUCCCAUGUUCUCAGUUCAGGGAGGUGUUCAAUAGGUUGGUCUGUUUCACAGCCAACAUCACCUAGGCUCCUCAGGGACAAGUACUCUUAACCAGAGCUAGAAGAUGGGGCUAAAAAACAGGACAUGGAUUCAGUACAGAGAGGUGGAAAGCAGCACCAUGGUCAAUGGAUUGAGACUGGGAUAGGGCCACACAAGGAGAGCAUCUGAAAGCCAAAUAUUUAAACCCUAAGACAAGAUUCCACCCAGUCUAUUUGUGCCUGCCCCAAAACCAAAAAACACAUUCCAUAUGGCAAUCAAGAGACCAAAGCAUAUGUAUACAAACAUACACAUAUAUAUAUGUUUUGUUUUGUUUUGAGACGGAGUCUUACUCUGUCUCCCAGGCUGGAGUGCAGUAGCACAAUCUCUCUGCUCAGUGCAACCUCCACCUCCUGGGUUCAAGCGAUUCUCAUGCCUCAGCCUCCUGAGUAGCUGGGAUUACAGGCCCACACCACCACACCCGGCUAAUUUUUGUAUUUUUAGUAGAGACGGGGUUUCGUCAUGUUGCCCAGGCUGGUCUCAAACUCUUGACCUCAGGUGAUCUGCCCGCCUCAGCCUCCCAAAGUGCUGAGAUCACUGGCGUGAGCCACCACUUCUGGCCAGUGCCAUAUUUUCUACUAUCCUGGUAAAGUAAAUAUUUGUACCAAACCCCACCAAACUUGAAAUGAAUGGAAUGUUCUUAAUUUUCAAGGUGCUAUCUUUAAAGGUCUUCUCCAGAAUGACCUGUGAUAUCUUUAUAGGGGCCAGGGAGUUUCCCCUCGAUAUCAGAAUUUCUUUACUUACAAGAUUAUAAUCUCAUAAGAUUAUAAUCUUACAAUUACUUACAAGAUUCUAUAAUUACUUACAAGAUGAUAAUCUUACAAGAUUCCAUAAUUACUUGCAAGAUUAUAAUCUUAUAAUUACUUACAAGAUUCUAUAAUUACUUACAAGAUUAUCAUCUUGUAAGUAAAGAAAUUCUGAUAUUGAGGGGAAACCCCCUGGCCCCUAUAAAGAUAUCACAGGUCAUUCUGGAGAAGAUCUUUAAAGAUAGCACCUUGAAAAUUAAGAACAUUCCAUUCAUUUCAAGUUUGGUGGGGUUUAACACAAAUAUUUACUUUACCAGGAUAGUAGAAAAUGUGGCGCUGGCCGGGCACAGUGGUGCACUCCUGUGAUCUCUGCACUUUGGGAGGCCGAGGUGGGCAGAUCACGAGGUCAGGAGCUCAAGACCAGCCUGGCCAAGAUGGUGAAACACUGUCUUUACUAAAAAUACAAAAAUUAGCCGGGCGUGGUGGUGGGCACCCGUAAUUCCAGCUACUCAGGAGGCUGAGGCAGAGACUUGCUUGAACCCAGGAGGUGGAGGUUGCAGUAAGCUGAGAUCUUGGUCACUGCAUUCCAGCCUGGGCGACAGAGUGAGACUCUGUCUCAAAACAAAAACAAAAACAAAAACAAAAACAAAAACACUGUGGUCUAAUCUAUAUGUCUUUUUUCUGAAUUCAUUUGAACUCAUUCACUGCUAUCACUAACAGUUUAAAGGCUGGGCGUGGUGGCUCAUGCCUGUAAUCCCAGCACUUUGGGAGGCCAAGGCAACAUGGUGAAAUCCUAUCUCUACGAAAAAUAUAGAAAAUUAGCCGAGUGUGGUGGUGCACACCUGUGGUCCCAGCUACUCCAGGAGGUGGAGGUGGGAGAUCACUAGAGCUCAGGAAGUGAAGCCUGCAGUGAGCUGAAAUCGCGCCACCAGGAGUAAGACCCUAUCUCAAAAAAUCAAAACAAAAUAAAACACAGUUUAAAUACUGUAUGUAGGCAUUUACAUUUUGGAGUUAAUUUCUUUUCUUUCUUUCUUUUUUUUUUUUUUGAUUCAGAGUUUUGCUCGGUCGCCUGGGCUGAAGUAUCGCCAUUUUGGCUCACUGAAACCUCUGCCUCCCGGGUUCAAGCAAUUCUCCUGCCUCAGCCUCCUGAGUAGCUGCAAUUACAGGCAUGCACCACCAUGCCAGGCUAAUUUUUGUAUUUUUAGUAGAUAUGGGGUUUUAUCAUGUUGGCCAGGCUGGUCUCGAACUCCUGACCUCAGGUGAUCCACCCGCCUCGGCCUCCCAAAGUGCUGGGAUUACAGGCAUGAGCCACUGCGCCUGGCCUUUGGAGUUAAUUUCUAAGAAAAGGCAGUGGGCACAAGUAAGUUGUAGUUCAUCUUAUGAACUCAUUCAGAAAUUUACAGCCUUUUUUAAAAAACAGAGAGUGGGUUCUUGCUCUAUUGCCAAGGCUGGGGUGCAAUUGCAUAAUCAUAGCUCACUGCAGCCUCGAUCUCCUGGGUUCAAGCCAUACUCCCUGCCCCAGGCUUCCUAGUAUCUAGGAUUACAGGCAUAUGCCACCAUGCUAAUUUAUUUAUUUAUUUAUUUUUAGAGGAGAAGACAGAGGGAAUCUAGCUGUUACCCAGGCUGGUCUCUAAUUCCUAGCCUCAAACGAUCCUCCUUCCUCAACCUCCUGAGUAGCUAUUAUCGGCAUGAGCCAUUACCCCUGGCUGAAAUUUAUAGUCUUUAUGUAUGAAUUCAUGAACAGCAUGAAGCUUGGCCAAUAGCAUUUCUGAAAGUGGAACUUGGCUCAUGUGAAUGCUCAUAACAAAAGAGAGAUUGCCAAAACAAGCAACUUUCUCUAAAUAGAGGCGAAAUAAUAGUCUUACAGAGUAAAUCUUCACAAUGUAAAAACAUAGAGUCAGUUC